UUGACCUCGAAUCAGGUAGGGAUACCCGCUGAACUUAAGCAUAUCAUA
Molecule: ribosomal RNA, 48 nt
Filed under: Helotiales sp. B54J3
Lineage: Eukaryota; Fungi; Ascomycota; Leotiomycetes; Helotiales
Also listed under: 1 other name
Description: partial 28S ribosomal RNA
Source: RNAcentral